Long non-coding RNA from Homo sapiens (human), 524 nucleotides. NCBI's taxonomy places the organism in Eukaryota, Metazoa, Chordata, Mammalia, Primates, Hominidae. The record is from Ensembl.
GGAGAUGGAAACAGGGAAUUUCCUACUCUCCUCCAUUCCCUGGACUCAUAGCCUUUUAAGACUCCAUCAGCCUCGAAGUUCAUUUGUGUGGCACUAAAAGUAAACCAAAAGCAGGAAGCUAAGGAUCUUUCACCUCUAAUGCACCCUGACCUUGGCUAUUUCAUGUCAGGGUCUGUGCAGUCUAAGCCCAGGCAGCCAACAUGCUUGGAGGAUACUUCAUGUAGUGGUACCUACAGCUCUUUCCAGAAGGCCAUGAAAAUCGAAUUACAUGGUGGGCUUGACUGAGACCAAUGUCUGAGACUUGUCCUUCUGAAGAAGUGGAUGUCUGCUGCCCACUUGUGAGAAUUGCUUGCAGCCAAACGUAAGGCCGUGGGCCCAGUUAGGCACCAGAGGGCUCAUCAGCUCAUUGUCGCCCACUUUAGUCUGCCGAGAUCCCACCCACUUGAUCUUGUCGGGAGAGAAGGCUGGUUCUUCCUCAGUCACCAGGGGCCAACGUCACCCUUGCAGAGUAUGUGAGCACCAAG